UGAGGAACAUGACCUUCGGCGGGGGAUAGCCGGCCCAACGGCCGGGUAAUACCGCGUACGACCACUUUGGGACAUCCCUCGGUGGUGAAAGCAGCAAUGCGCCGAUGGAGUGCCUCGCGGCCUAUUAGCUAGUUGGUGAGGUAACGGCUCACCAAGGCGACGACGGGUAGCUGGUCUGAGAGGAUGGCCAGCCACAGUUGGGACUGAGACACCGGCCCAGACCUCCGUAGGGGAGG
This 236-nucleotide ribosomal RNA is filed under the name uncultured bacterium. Its description in RNAcentral is "partial 16S ribosomal RNA". It matches the Rfam family "Bacterial small subunit ribosomal RNA", at positions 118 to 347 of the family's 1533-position model. The record is from RNAcentral.